Long non-coding RNA from Gallus gallus (chicken), 376 nucleotides. RefSeq lists it as uncharacterized. The transcript has 3 exons. Lineage: Eukaryota; Metazoa; Chordata; Aves; Galliformes; Phasianidae. The record is from RefSeq and is a predicted model, not a curated record.
GGGAGGAUUCAACCCCUACUGCCAUACCACCACCAUCUGACCCUGGCGUCAUGGGCCAGCAUAAGAAAAUGGCAUUACUUUUGGAGCAGCCCUCAGAGAACUGCAGCACACCACCAUAUUUCCUCUCGGCCGUUGUCCCUUCACACCAGGAGCGUUUCCCUUCCUUGUCCCUGAAAUAGCGUUCCACCAACAGCUGGCUGAAAGGACAUCGAGUGCACCUGCUCUACUUAGGCACAGACUACGAAACCAGAAUUAAAAAGCAGAAACUAUUCAAGACUCCAUCAGAGCUCUUCUCAGAAAGACAGCACCUCCUUAGGGGAAAAGCAAAUAUUCUGCUUGGUAUAUGCCAUGUACAAACAGCACCACCAGAGGCAAU